UACGUAGGUAGCGAGCGUUGUCCGGAUUUACUGGGCGUAAAGGGAGCGUAGGUGGCCUAACAUGUCGACUGUGAAAACCCGGAGCUCAACUCCGGACUUGCAGUUGAAACUGCAAGGCUUGAGGACGGUAGAGGAAGACGGAACUGCCAGUGUAGGGGUAAAAUCCUUAGAUAUUGGCAGGAACGCCGGUGACGAAGGUGGUUUUCUGGGCCGGUUCUGACACUGAUGCUCGAAAGCCAGGGGAGCGAACGGGAUUAGAUACCCUGGUAGUCCCUGAGCGGGCU
RNAcentral lists this ribosomal RNA (284 nucleotides) under uncultured prokaryote. Its description in RNAcentral is "partial 16S ribosomal RNA". It matches the Rfam family "Bacterial small subunit ribosomal RNA", at positions 524 to 805 of the family's 1533-position model. The record is from RNAcentral.